AAGGGAGUGAAGGCGGGUUCCGCGCGUCUCCUCACCAGGAGGACUCGCGCGCCCAUAAGCUAUGUGGUGAGUACGCCUCCCCAGGGCACGAUGUGUAGCCGCCUGAGGAGGGGUGAUCGGCCCAACCUGGACUGAGACCCGCCCAGACUCCCUACGGAAGCAGCAGUAGGGAUCUCCGCAUGACGAAGUCUGACGAGCACGCGCGUGAGUGAUGAGUUUCGGAUCGUAAGCUCUGUGUAGGAAGACAAGUGCAAGAGUAACUGCUGCACCUGACGGUACCUACCAGAAAGCACGGCUAACUACGUGCCAGCAGCCGCGGUAAUACGUAGGUGGCAAGCGUUGUCCGGAAUUAUUGGGCGUAAAGCGCGCGCAGGUGGUUCCUUAAGUCUGAUGUGAAAGCCCACGGCUCAACCGUGGAGGGUCAUUGGAAACUGGGGAACUUGAGUGCAGAAGAGGAAAGUGGAAUUUCCAAGUGUAGCGGUGAAAUGCGUAGAGAUUUGGAGGAACACCAGUGGCGAAGGCGACUUUCUGGUCUGUAACUGACACUGAGGCGCGAAAGCGUGGGGAGCAAACAGGAUUAGAUACCCUGGUAGUCCACGCCGUAAACGAUGAGUGCUAAGUGUUAGAGGGUUUCCGCCCUUUAGUGCUGCAGCUAACGCAUUAAGCACUCCGCCUGGGGAGUACGGCCGCAAGGCUGAAACUCAAAGGAAUUGACGGGGGCCCGCACAAGCGGUGGAGCAUGUGGUUUAAUUCGAAGCAACGCGAAGAACCUUACCAGGUCUUGACAUCCUCUGACAACCCUAGAGAUAGGGCUUUCCCCUUCGGGGGACAGAGUGACAGGUGGUGCAUGGUUGUCGUCAGCUCGUGUCGUGAGAUGUUGGGUUAAGUCCCGCAACGAGCGCAACCCUUGAUCUUAGUUGCCAGCAUUCAGUUGGGCACUCUAAGGUGACUGCCGGUGACAAACCGGAGGAAGGUGGGGAUGACGUCAAAUCAUCAUGCCCCUUAUGACCUGGGCUACACACGUGCUACAAUGGAUGGUACAAAGGGCUGCAAACCUGCGAAGGUAAGCGAAUCCCAUAAAGCCAUUCUCAGUUCGGAUGCAGGCUGCAACUCGCCUGCAUGAAGCCGGAAUCGCUAGUAAUCGCGGAUCAGCAUGCGCGAUUGUUAC
This 1168-nucleotide ribosomal RNA is filed under the name uncultured bacterium. Its description in RNAcentral is "bacterial SSU rRNA". It matches the Rfam family "Bacterial small subunit ribosomal RNA", at positions 202 to 1369 of the family's 1533-position model. The record is from RNAcentral.